GACGAACCGAGCGAACGUUAUUCGGAAUCACUGGGCUUAAAGGGCGCGUAGGCGGGCGGCCAAGUCAGGGGUGAAAGCCCCCAGCUCAACUGGGGAAGUGCCUUUGAUACUGGUCAUCUCGAGGGAGAUAGGGGCGUGCGGAACUUCCGGUGGAGCGGUGAAAUGCGUAGAUAUCGGAAGGAACACCGGUGGCGAAAGCUGCGCGCUGGAUCUCUUCUGACGCUGAGGCGCGAAAGCCAGGGGAGCGAACGGG
This 253-nucleotide ribosomal RNA is filed under the name uncultured bacterium. RNAcentral describes it as "partial 16S ribosomal RNA". It matches the Rfam family "Bacterial small subunit ribosomal RNA", at positions 524 to 776 of the family's 1533-position model. The record is from RNAcentral.